This 611-nucleotide unclassified non-coding RNA is filed under the name Pomacea canaliculata. RNAcentral's name for it is "glycine-rich cell wall structural protein-like, transcript variant X2". The record is from RNAcentral. Lineage: Eukaryota; Metazoa; Mollusca; Gastropoda; Architaenioglossa; Ampullariidae.
GCUACACAGCACGAGUAUAUAAGAAGAAGAAGCAGGCCGCCUUCUGUACCUGACCUCCAAGCGUUUGAAUAACAUCACACACACAUCCGACAUUCAAGAAUGAAGGCUGCCGUCGCGUUGCUGCUGUUCUCGCUGGUGGCUACCAGCCUCGCUAGCUUCUACUACCCACCUAAGAUCGCGAAGGUCCUCGUCAUUCCUAAAUACGGCUAUGGUGGCUAUGGCGGCUAUGGAGGCUAUGGUGGCUAUGGAGGUUUGGGAGGCUUCGGCGGCUUGGGCGGCCUCGGCGGUUUCGGCGGCUUUGGCGGCCUCGGCGGUUACGGAGGUUACGGAGGCUACAGAGGUUACGGAGGCUAUGGAGGUUACGGACUUGGCGGUGGAGUAAUUGGAGUUGGCAGUGUUGGCAUCCUUGGCGGAGGUUUUGGAGGCUUUGGAGGAUUUGGAGGAUUCGGUGGUGGUCAUGGAGGCAAAUACUAAUGACAUUACUGAUGGACCACACAACUGUGUGUCACCCACUAGGUCGUGGACCUCAGUUUUGACGACAUCAACGUGCAGUAAAAAGUGAACAUACUAAUAUUUAGCCCUGCCUACAUAAAUAAAGUCUUUAUGUUUAA